This 82-nucleotide transfer RNA is filed under the name Solanum tuberosum (potato). RNAcentral describes it as "tRNA-Lys". Lineage: Eukaryota; Viridiplantae; Streptophyta; Magnoliopsida; Solanales; Solanaceae. The record is from RNAcentral. RNAcentral also lists the same sequence under 9 other names.
CUAUGAUGGAUGAAGGCCUUUCAUUUUGGCUCUGUAGGGCUAUCCAUAAGAUCAUUUGGCGAGGUUCAGCCCUCAGCGUGGG